This 253-nucleotide ribosomal RNA is filed under the name uncultured bacterium. RNAcentral describes it as "partial 16S ribosomal RNA". It matches the Rfam family "Bacterial small subunit ribosomal RNA", at positions 524 to 776 of the family's 1533-position model. The record is from RNAcentral.
GACAGAGGCCCCAAGCGUUAGGCGGAAUCACUGGGCUUAAAGCGUGUGUAGGCGGAUCGUUAAGUGUCUUGUGAAAUCCCACGGCUCACCCGUGGAACUGCUGGUCAUACUGGCGAUCUUGGGCCAACUAGGGGCAGUCGGAACAAGCGGUGGAGCGGUGAAAUGCGUAGAUAUCGCUUGGAACGCCGAAGGUGAAAACAGACUGCUGGGGUUGCGCCGACGCUGAGACACGAAAGCCAGGGGAGCAAACGGG